Bombus pyrosoma is the source of this 822-nucleotide long non-coding RNA. RefSeq lists it as uncharacterized. NCBI's taxonomy places the organism in Eukaryota, Metazoa, Arthropoda, Insecta, Hymenoptera, Apidae. The record is from RefSeq and is a predicted model, not a curated record. The transcript is spliced from 2 exons.
UCGUUGCCUCCUCUGGUGCUAUAUAUACGUACUACCUGUAUAUUGAUCGUUUUUUUGCGCGAUAGUAUCGAUAGUAUCUAUACUGGUUUGGAGAGAUCGAAGUACAUUUUGCGCGCGAACAUUUUUAAGUUCGACAAGCUUAGAUUCCGGACGUGACCUGUAGAGGGUGCAUUGAUCGUUAAGCACACGUAUAUGAAUUAAUGAAAUAAUUGUGUUUAUAACUAGACUGCGAAUUUUUAUAUAUUUAUAGAAAAUUGGAAGGUGCAAAAAUUUGCAAAGUACGUGUAAUAUGAAGAAGCAUGCCUGUGAAACUUUUAAAAGAACAAUCAGGAUAAUUAAGAAGAUAAUUCCAUUUUGUGAUUUCUGGCAAUACUACCUGCCAGAAUUUUGUUCUCUUGUUUGAAUCGUUGGAAUAAUAAAUUAAUAGAGAACAGUGGUGUAUAAAAUGUAACAGAUACAUUCAAUUUAGACUCAAAUAAAGGAAAGGGAGAUUAUUUAGUAAAGUAUUGUUUAGAAUAACGAGAGGCACAUCUUUUUUCUUAAAUCUUUAACAUUAAGAAAUAAUAUUAUAGAUAUAAUAAAUAUAAUACGUUUCUUUAUUGAAACGUAUCGAAUGACAUUUUGACAUUUGUUUAAAAUAACGAUCUAUAUAAGUGAAAAUGUUUGAUAGUAUAAUAUUCAUAUUAUAUUAAGCUUAUUUCAAGACUGCUACACCGAAAUGUGUUUAGUUUUCACGUCAGGCACUAAAUUAUUUGCCUUGCGAAACUGCGUGUACAUAUUGUAUUUUGUACGUCGAAACUUAAUACAGCUUUUCUCACAUUU